RNAcentral lists this long non-coding RNA (3183 nucleotides) under Triticum aestivum (bread wheat). RNAcentral describes it as "long non-coding RNA (TAES_LNC019564)". Lineage: Eukaryota; Viridiplantae; Streptophyta; Magnoliopsida; Poales; Poaceae. The record is from RNAcentral.
CUCGUUCUUGCUGGAGUAUGUGCUAUCCGCCCACAGCCCAUGCGUUCGUCUCUUCCGUCCUUUCGUCCUACCCCUAUAUUGCCCGAAGCCGCCGAAUCUCGCCGCCGGCGCUCCCCAGUCGCCACUGCGCCACUCCCUCCCUCCCUACGUUCCUCCAGACUGCUCCGUGCUGUCUCACGCGCCUCCCUGUAUUCUCAUCUCCAGGCGCCACCGUCUCGAUCGACCGUCGGCGCCGCCGUCUCGAUCCACCGCCGGCGCCACCUCUCGAUCGACAGCCGGCGCCACCUCUAGAUCUACCGUCAGCGCCACCGUCUCGAUCGACCGCCUGCGCCACCUCUCGAUCGACCGCCGGCGCCAUCGUGUUCUACUGCCUCGACCGACUGCCGAUCUCAAAGAUCAAGUUUUUCCCACGGCCAGACGGAACCUCCUCUUCCUGAUACCACGCACGGGGAGGGGAGGAUGCGCACCCGAGUGAUUGGUAAUUGCGGUACCCAUCUUCCCUUCUCAUCCUCUAAAUCCCUCUUCUACAAACAAACAAACAAAAAUCUGAGUUUCUGGUGACACUCUAUUUAUGUUUUAUUCUUCAGGAUCCCAAGGAUGGAGUGAUUUAUUGGUUCUCUAGGCUCCGACCUAUAUUUUCUUUCUCAAAGUUGUUUCUAACAACUCAGAUGAGAUAGCUUGUUGGCUAGUAGCUUGGGGUUUCCCCAUAGGUAAUUGAUAUAGGACAUGAUAAUUUCACAUUUGAUAUUGAUAGUACUUGAUACAUGCUCGCUUCAAUUUAUGCAUCUGAAUCUUCUUCUAUGUGUAGUUGCUUUCAAGAGGGUUUCCAUUUAUCACAGGAACCAACAAGUAAAGAGGAAUGCAUCUUGCCCAAAGCAGCGGCUAAUUCUUACUGGCGCAUGUAUGCAGGCAUAAGUACAAGCUAGAAACAAUGCAGCGAUCCAUAAAUGUUGAGUCUGAACCUGUGUUGUUAACUGACUUGCUGAGGUAUGAUCAAUGCAUAGGUUAAGUUGGGUAAUGCCGAGUUACAUGUGACUUUUCCUCACCUGCCCCUUAAUGACAAUUAGCUUAAAAGGAGCCUAGCGUAUGCACUGCUUUUUUAGAGAAAAGAAUAUCAGCUUCCCACUAGGAAUUUUACAAGCAUUUAGCCGCUCACAUGUUAUUUGUUUUAUACACAAGAGUGUUUGUCUAAGUUCCCCAGACAUGUAUCUGACCCUUUGCUGUCCCGGUAAUUAUCUCCAUAGAUUCCUGUUCAUAAAAAAUGCUUUCAACAUCUGCUAAGGCUUCAGCUAUUGAGCUUCUGAUGGGCUUCUGUUGCGGAAGACCUACUGCCCUAACUGCAUUUGUAUCUUCUGAAAUUUCUGUAAUAGUUGCUGCAUUUGCUAGGUUUAUAAUCUUCAUUCUGCCAAUCUUUUCACCUGCAAUGAAUAAUACCCCUAUUAAGUCAGGCGAAACGAUUUUUUUUCGAGAAAUCAGGUGAAACAAUUGGAAGAAUGAAGAUCAUAAAACUUGUGUCAACCGCAGCUAAUGAAUGAAAUAAUACCUGUUCUUGUGUCAUGCGAUGUCAAAUGGGAUAUUAGUACAUGGGAUGCUUCGUCGAUUGUAUAACAGUGUAACGUCCAUGAAGGGGGGCACCUGAUUCGCCUCAGCAGUUCUCCCUUAUCAUCAAACAUGGAAACCUGAUCUUUAUAUCUCACCAAUAAUAGUAGCUCAUCUUCAGUCUGUAAGAUGUGUAUCCCAUGUGGAUCACUGGUACAAACUGAUUUAGCCACAGAAGGCUCUUCUUCGAGCUGGAUCAUAAUUCAGGAGGAUCAAACACUUGUAAAUUGAGAUCAAGAUUUCAUAAUAAUAAAAUCUAGUUACUUGUAUGUAAUAAACCUACAUCUGUCAUUCUGACUCGCAUAUUUUCCUGUUGAAGCACCACUUUAGUUGAAAUAGAUUGUAUGAAUUUAACUUCACUGAAAUUCUUGAGAGGAACAUAACACAUUUCUGUCAGGUCUCCGGUUUGGAGAGAGUAUGUUUGGAUAGGAAAGAAGCCCUUCGGGUCAGGUCUGUGACUUGUCACUAAGUUGUCAGUAUGCAACAGAGAAAACAAAUGCUGCCUUUUGAAGCCUAGACUAAUACCUCAGAUUGUAGCACUCCAUACCCGGCAUUGUGAUCUGACGAAGUAAACUGCCGUUCCUUGUGCUAAAAAUUCUCAUAACGCUGAUGGGAAAAAUGUUUGUUUAUUUUAUUAGAUUAGACCACAAUAAAUAAAUAAAAUACAAACAAAUAUUAGAAAGUGUUCAAUUUGUGUGUACCUAGUUUUUUUAGAGAAGACCACCGCCUUUUCAGCACCGGCAGAUAAUUUCACAUGUUCCGGGUUCGUAAUUUCAGAUUCAGAAAACAUUCUUAUCUGUUGGGGCACGCGGACCGCCGUCCUUAUAGACCUAGAAAUGAAACCAGGUAGGAUCAAAAUGCACAAUUCUUUUGUUUCAAGUUAUGUAGCUGAUAGAAUGCUAAAUAUUUGUUAGAAUGCUAAAUAUUCUAUUAUAAGAAAGGAGGCAUAACAAUGUCAUAUAUAUGCACAGGAGCAGUUUUAUGUGGUAGCCUUCCAAUAUGCAACCAUUCUGUCCUCCAAUCCUGUUUUAUGUUAUGUUCUUUUUAAAGCACCAUAUAUAUCUGUUAAACUGCAGCCUCGUAACUAGGUUUGGUUCUGAAAUAUCAUAUUGAUAUCGAUUUCUACUGAAUAUCCCCUUCUCCACAGGUGACUUGGGCCGUCUUGCCAGCGAGGCCCCACCGUUCCUCUACUUGCUGCAGCUGCCCACGACCCUCCUCUCUACUUGCUCCACCUGUGAUUAGUUGAACCUUUUUGUCGUUGUCAUUAACAGCUGCUACUGUAACAAUGUUUCGACACCAUUGUUGUGCUGGUCCUUCUAUUCAACAGUAUAACAACAGUAUUGUUUUGAACUUGUAAGUUUUGUGAUGUUGUUUAGUUCUGCAGAAAUACAACAACACAGCAGUACUUAAGAGUAAUACUGAUGCUCACGAAUACAGUAGUAAAACUUACUCGAGUGGUACUUUGGCGCAUCUUAUAUCAAUUGAUCUCGAGAGUGUGAACUGUGAGACGCAUAUAACCCAAUUUGCUUUCUUGUUCCAGAGAAGAGACAAUAUCUUCUGAUCAACUUGGUUAUUCAGAGCGCA